GCAUCUGUGGCCGAGUGGUUAGGCACCGGACUCAUAAUCCGUUAUACGCUGGUUCAAGUCCAGUCAGAUGUA
Molecule: transfer RNA, 72 nt
Filed under: Octactis speculum
Lineage: Eukaryota; Dictyochophyceae; Dictyochales; Dictyochaceae
Description: tRNA-Met
Rfam family: tRNA
About the family: Transfer RNA (tRNA) molecules are approximately 80 nucleotides in length.
Source: RNAcentral